GCCAGGCGUGGUGGCGCAUGCCUGUAGUCCCAGCUACUCGGGAGGCUGAAGCAGAAGAAUCGCUUGAACUCAGGAGACUGAGGUUGCAGUGACCCAAGAUCAUGCCACUGCACUCCAGCCUGGGUGACAGAGCAAGAUUCCGUCUCAA
Pan troglodytes (chimpanzee) is the source of this 148-nucleotide non-coding RNA. It matches the Rfam family "Metazoan signal recognition particle RNA". From Rfam's summary of the family: The signal recognition particle (SRP) is a universally conserved ribonucleoprotein. It is involved in the co-translational targeting of proteins to membranes. Lineage: Eukaryota; Metazoa; Chordata; Mammalia; Primates; Hominidae. The record is from Rfam.